GACGUAGGUGGCGAACGUUAUCCGGAAUUAUUGGGCGUAAAGGGUGCGUAGAUGGCCUGACAAGUUAGCAGUGGGAAAUCGAGGCUCAACCUCGUGGAAGCUGGUAAUACUGUCUGGCUCGAGUGCAGGAGAGGUUAACGGAACUCCAUGUGGAGCGGUAAAAUGCGUAGAUAUAUGGAAGAACACCAAUAACGGCGAAGGCAGUUAACUAUUCUGCUACCGACAUUGAGGCACGAAAGCGUGGGGAGCAAAAAGG
This 256-nucleotide ribosomal RNA is filed under the name uncultured bacterium. RNAcentral's name for it is "partial 16S ribosomal RNA". It matches the Rfam family "Bacterial small subunit ribosomal RNA", at positions 524 to 776 of the family's 1533-position model. The record is from RNAcentral.